RNAcentral lists this ribosomal RNA (2602 nucleotides) under Escherichia coli. RNAcentral describes it as "partial 23S ribosomal RNA". It matches the Rfam family "Bacterial large subunit ribosomal RNA", at positions 172 to 2798 of the family's 2925-position model. The record is from RNAcentral. Lineage: Bacteria; Pseudomonadati; Pseudomonadota; Gammaproteobacteria; Enterobacterales; Enterobacteriaceae.
UAAUGAGGCGAACCGGGGGAACUGAAACAUCUAAGUACCCCGAGGAAAAGAAAUCAACCGAGAUUCCCCCAGUAGCGGCGAGCGAACGGGGAGGAGCCCAGAGCCUGAAUCAGUGUGUGUGUUAGUGGAAGCGUCUGGAAAGGCGCGCGAUACAGGGUGACAGCCCCGUACACAAAAAUGCACAUGCUGUGAGCUCGAUGAGUAGGGCGGGACACGUGGUAUCCUGUCUGAAUAUGGGGGGACCAUCCUCCAAGGCUAAAUACUCCUGACUGACCGAUAGUGAACCAGUACCGUGAGGGAAAGGCGAAAAGAACCCCGGCGAGGGGAGUGAAAAAGAACCUGAAACCGUGUACGUACAAGCAGUGGGAGCACGCUUAGGCGUGUGACUGCGUACCUUUUGUAUAAUGGGUCAGCGACUUAUAUUCUGUAGCAAGGUUAACCGAAUAGGGGAGCCGAAGGGAAACCGAGUCUUAACUGGGCGUUAAGUUGCAGGGUAUAGACCCGAAACCCGGUGAUCUAGCCAUGGGCAGGUUGAAGGUUGGGUAACACUAACUGGAGGACCGAACCGACUAAUGUUGAAAAAUUAGCGGAUGACUUGUGGCUGGGGGUGAAAGGCCAAUCAAACCGGGAGAUAGCUGGUUCUCCCCGAAAGCUAUUUAGGUAGCGCCUCGUGAAUUCAUCUCCGGGGGUAGAGCACUGUUUCGGCAAGGGGGUCAUCCCGACUUACCAACCCGAUGCAAACUGCGAAUACCGGAGAAUGUUAUCACGGGAGACACACGGCGGGUGCUAACGUCCGUCGUGAAGAGGGAAACAACCCAGACCGCCAGCUAAGGUCCCAAAGUCAUGGUUAAGUGGGAAACGAUGUGGGAAGGCCCAGACAGCCAGGAUGUUGGCUUAGAAGCAGCCAUCAUUUAAAGAAAGCGUAAUAGCUCACUGGUCGAGUCGGCCUGCGCGGAAGAUGUAACGGGGCUAAACCAUGCACCGAAGCUGCGGCAGCGACGCUUAUGCGUUGUUGGGUAGGGGAGCGUUCUGUAAGCCUGUGAAGGUGUGCUGUGAGGCAUGCUGGAGGUAUCAGAAGUGCGAAUGCUGACAUAAGUAACGAUAAAGCGGGUGAAAAGCCCGCUCGCCGGAAGACCAAGGGUUCCUGUCCAACGUUAAUCGGGGCAGGGUGAGUCGACCCCUAAGGCGAGGCCGAAAGGCGUAGUCGAUGGGAAACAGGUUAAUAUUCCUGUACUUGGUGUUACUGCGAAGGGGGGACGGAGAAGGCUAUGUUGGCCGGGCGACGGUUGUCCCGGUUUAAGCGUGUAGGCUGGUUUUCCAGGCAAAUCCGGAAAAUCAAGGCUGAGGCGUGAUGACGAGGCACUACGGUGCUGAAGCAACAAAUGCCCUGCUUCCAGGAAAAGCCUCUAAGCAUCAGGUAACAUCAAAUCGUACCCCAAACCGACACAGGUGGUCAGGUAGAGAAUACCAAGGCGCUUGAGAGAACUCGGGUGAAGGAACUAGGCAAAAUGGUGCCGUAACUUCGGGAGAAGGCACGCUGAUAUGUAGGUGAAGUCCCUCGCGGAUGGAGCUGAAAUCAGUCGAAGAUACCAGCUGGCUGCAACUGUUUAUUAAAAACACAGCACUGUGCAAACACGAAAGUGGACGUAUACGGUGUGACGCCUGCCCGGUGCCGGAAGGUUAAUUGAUGGGGUCAGCGCAAGCGAAGCUCUUGAUCGAAGCCCCGGUAAACGGCGGCCGUAACUAUAACGGUCCUAAGGUAGCGAAAUUCCUUGUCGGGUAAGUUCCGACCUGCACGAAUGGCGUAAUGAUGGCCAGGCUGUCUCCACCCGAGACUCAGUGAAAUUGAACUCGCUGUGAAGAUGCAGUGUACCCGCGGCAAGACGGAAAGACCCCGUGAACCUUUACUAUAGCUUGACACUGAACAUUGAGCCUUGAUGUGUAGGAUAGGUGGGAGGCUUUGAAGUGUGGACGCCAGUCUGCAUGGAGCCGACCUUGAAAUACCACCCUUUAAUGUUUGAUGUUCUAACGUUGACCCGUAAUCCGGGUUGCGGACAGUGUCUGGUGGGUAGUUUGACUGGGGCGGUCUCCUCCUAAAGAGUAACGGAGGAGCACGAAGGUUGGCUAAUCCUGGUCGGACAUCAGGAGGUUAGUGCAAUGGCAUAAGCCAGCUUGACUGCGAGCGUGACGGCGCGAGCAGGUGCGAAAGCAGGUCAUAGUGAUCCGGUGGUUCUGAAUGGAAGGGCCAUCGCUCAACGGAUAAAAGGUACUCCGGGGAUAACAGGCUGAUACCGCCCAAGAGUUCAUAUCGACGGCGGUGUUUGGCACCUCGAUGUCGGCUCAUCACAUCCUGGGGCUGAAGUAGGUCCCAAGGGUAUGGCUGUUCGCCAUUUAAAGUGGUACGCGAGCUGGGUUUAGAACGUCGUGAGACAGUUCGGUCCCUAUCUGCCGUGGGCGCUGGAGAACUGAGGGGGGCUGCUCCUAGUACGAGAGGACCGGAGUGGACGCAUCACUGGUGUUCGGGUUGUCAUGCCAAUGGCACUGCCCGGUAGCUAAAUGCGGAAGAGAUAAGUGCUGAAAGCAUCUAAGCACGAAACUUGCC